AACGAACGCUGGCGGCAGGCCUAACACAUGCAAGUCGAACGCCCUAGCAAUAGGGAGUGGCAGACGGGUGAGUAACACGUGGGAACCUUCCCUAUAGUACGGAAUAGCCCAGGGAAACUUGGAGUAAUACCGUAUACGCCCGAAAGGGGAAAGAUUUAUCGCGAUAGGAUGGGCCCGCGGCGGAUUAGCUAGUUGGUGAGGUAAUGGCUCACCAAGGCAACGAUCCGUAGCUGGUUUGAGAGAAAGACCAGCCACCCUGGGACUGAGACACGGCCCAGACUCCUACGGGAGGCAGCAGUGGGGCAUCUUGGAAGAUGGGCGCAAUCCUGAUCCAGCCAUGCCGCGAGAGGUAUGAAGGCCCUAGGGUUGUAAAGCUCUUUUGUCGGGUGCGAUAAUGACGGUACCCGAAGAAUAAGCUCCGGCUAACUUCGUGCCAGCCGCCGCUGUAA
Molecule: ribosomal RNA, 449 nt
Filed under: uncultured bacterium
Lineage: Bacteria
Description: partial 16S ribosomal RNA
Rfam family: Bacterial small subunit ribosomal RNA
Source: RNAcentral